Molecule: long non-coding RNA, 436 nt
Organism: Marmota monax (woodchuck)
Lineage: Eukaryota; Metazoa; Chordata; Mammalia; Rodentia; Sciuridae
Exons: 2
Source: RefSeq, a predicted model, not a curated record
ACAGAAGCUUGUUUAAGUAACAUGGUGUUUCCUGGGUCAGGUAUGGUGUGGUCUCCCACAACGCCAGUUUCUGGGCAGGGCUUAGGCUUCCACGGUCCAUAGGCCCUAGUUGCAUGCCAGCUCAGUGGGUGGAAGGGUAUAAAUCUCAGCUACUCUGAGCCCUGCCACAUGUGCACCUAAGACUUCCAACAGCAACAUGAAGUUGGGAGGCUUCCUUCUCCUUGUGGCACUCAUCUUCCUCAGCCUUGAGUUACAGGAGCUUCAGGCUGCGGUGAGACCAUUGCAACUUUUGGUUUCUGCCUGCAAUGAUGGGACUGUCUGGAGAUUCUUGACUGGAAAGAGAAAUGAAAAUCAGGACCUGUGGAUGGAGACUACAAGUAGUAUGGAGGAAGGGAAGAGGAGGUGUUUGUUUCAAUAAAUAAUCACUUUAAAAGCA